UUCAGAGUGGCUCAGUCACUAGAGCAUGAGACUCUUAAUCUCAGGGUCAAGGGUUUGAAUCCCAUGCUGGGCAAAA
Molecule: non-coding RNA, 76 nt
Organism: Podarcis lilfordi (Lilford's wall lizard)
Lineage: Eukaryota; Metazoa; Chordata; Lepidosauria; Squamata; Lacertidae
Source: the annotation of a GenBank genome assembly